Molecule: ribosomal RNA, 253 nt
Filed under: uncultured bacterium
Lineage: Bacteria
Description: partial 16S ribosomal RNA
Rfam family: Bacterial small subunit ribosomal RNA
Source: RNAcentral
UACGUAGGGUGCAAGCGUUAAUCGGAAUUACUGGGCGUAAAGCGUGCGCAGGCGGUUAUGUAAGACAGAUGUGAAAUCCCCGGGCUCAACCUGGGAACUGCAUUUGUGACUGCAUAGCUAGAGUACGGUAGAGGGGGAUGGAAUUCCGCGUGUAGCAGUGAAAUGCGUAGAUAUGCGGAGGAACACCGAUGGCGAAGGCAAUCCCCUGGACCUGUACUGACGCUCAUACACGAAAGCGUGGGGAGCAAACAGG